GACGAACGCUGGCGGCGCGCUUAACACAUGCAAGUCGAGCGAGAACCAGGGCUUCGGCCCUGGGGACAGCGGCGAACGGGUGAGUAACACGUGGGUAACCUGCCCUCGGCACCGGAAUAGCCCGGGGAAACCCGGAUUAAUGCUGGAUAGCCUCACGGACCCUCGGGUCUGUGAGAAAAGGUAGCUUCGGCUUCCGGCUGAGGAUGGGCCCGCGGCCGAUUAGCUUGUUGGUGAGGUAACGGCUCACCAAGGCGACGAUCGGUAGCUGGUCUGAGAGGACGAUCAGCCACACUGGGACUGAGACACGGCCCAGACUCCUACGGGAGGCAGCAGUGGGGAAUCUUGCGCAAUGGGCGAAAGCCUGACGCAGCGACGCCGCGUGCGGGAAGAAGGCCUGG
This 398-nucleotide ribosomal RNA is filed under the name uncultured bacterium. Its description in RNAcentral is "bacterial SSU rRNA". It matches the Rfam family "Bacterial small subunit ribosomal RNA", at positions 28 to 419 of the family's 1533-position model. The record is from RNAcentral.